This 696-nucleotide ribosomal RNA is filed under the name uncultured bacterium. RNAcentral describes it as "partial 16S ribosomal RNA". It matches the Rfam family "Bacterial small subunit ribosomal RNA", at positions 102 to 804 of the family's 1533-position model. The record is from RNAcentral.
ACGGGGGUGAAAUGCAUCUCAAAGCGCCCCGAAAUGGGGGAUAUCUGUCCGAAAGGAAUUCUAUUAUCCCAUACACCCUGUGGGGAAAAGCGGGGGAUAUUGGGACCUCUUGCGCUUCUUGAGCGGGAUAUAUCUGAUUCUAUAUGUGGGGGGGAAGGGGCCUCCCGGGGCCAAUAUCAAUCGGGGCUCAGAGGAGAAUAUCCCCCACUGUGGCUGUGACACAGCCCCCACACUCCCAGGGGGGGCAACUGGGGAAAUUUUUGCACUGGGGGCGCGCCCGAUAUCCCCCCGUGCCGUGUGUGAGAAAAGCGUCUUCGGUGUGAAGGAGAUUUUUGUCGGGAAAGAAGAGGUUUGGUAAUACCCCCAUGUGAGAUGACUACCCGUGAAAUAUGCACACGGUAUCUCUACGUGAGCAGCACGCGCUAUUACACAUAGUGCGAGAGUUUUCUGAAAACAGUGCGUAUAGCGAGCGCACAGACUUUGAUUUGCGCAUAUGAGAUCUCCGGGGCUCAUGUGAGCAGUGCGCUGUGCACUGAGUCUCUAGAGUGUCUCAGAGAGAUAUAGUUUAUGUGUGUCACAGUGAUGUGCAUAGAGAUGUAGAGUAUAGAUAUCGCGAGCGCCCCUCGUGAUACACUCAGACGCUCAUCUCAAGCGUGUGUAUCACAACAGUAUAUAUACUCGUGUAGUCACCUAACA